AUGAACGCUAGCUACAGGCUUAACACAUGCAAGUCGAGGGGAAACGACAUCGAAAGCUUGCUUUUGAUGGGCGUCGACCGGCGCACGGGUGAGUAACGCGUAUCCAACCUGCCCAUCACUUGGGAAUAACCUUGCGAAAGUAAGACUAAUACCCAAUGAUAUCCCACGAAGGCAUCGGAAUGGGAUUAAAGAUUUAUCGGUGAUGGAUGGGGAUGCGUCUGAUUAGCUUGUUGGCGGGGUAACGGCCCACCAAGGCAACGAUCAGUAGGGGUUCUGAGAGGAAGGUCCCCCACAUUGGAACUGAGACACGGUCCAAACUCCUACGGGAGGCAGCAGUGAGGAAUAGUGGUCAAUGGGCGAGAGCCUGAACCAGCCAAGUAGCGUGCAGGAAGACGGCCCUAUGGGUUGUAAACUGCUUUUAUAAGGGAAUAAAGUGGGUCACGUGUGACUUUUUGCAUGUACCUUAUGAAUAAGGACCGGCUAAUUCCGUG
Molecule: ribosomal RNA, 491 nt
Filed under: uncultured bacterium
Lineage: Bacteria
Description: partial 16S ribosomal RNA
Rfam family: Bacterial small subunit ribosomal RNA
Source: RNAcentral